Molecule: ribosomal RNA, 636 nt
Filed under: Phytophthora capsici
Lineage: Eukaryota; Oomycota; Peronosporomycetes; Peronosporales; Peronosporaceae
Description: eukaryotic LSU rRNA
Rfam family: 5.8S ribosomal RNA (bases 112-266)
Source: RNAcentral
UCAUGGNGAAUGUUNGGACUUCGGUCCGGGCGAGUAGCUUUUGUUUUAAACCCAUUUCACAAUUUCUGAUUAUACUGUGGGGACGAAAGUCUCUGNUUUUAACUAGAUAGCAACUUUCAGCAGUGGAUGUNUAGGCUCGCACAUCGAUGAAGAACGCUGCGAACUGCGAUACGUAAUGCGAAUUGCAGGAUUCAGUGAGUCAUCGAAAUUUUGAACGCAUAUUGCACUUCCGGGUUAGUCCUGGGAGUAUGCCUGUAUCAGUGUCCGUACAUCAAACUUGGCUUUCUUCCUUCCGUGUAGUCGGUGGAGGAUGUGCCAGAUGUGAAGUGUCUUGCGUGUUGUCCUUCGGGUCGACUGCGAGUCCUUUUAAAUGUACUGAACUGUACUUCUCUUUGCUCGAAAAGCGUGGUGUUGCUGGUUGUGGAGGCUGCCUGCGUGGCCAGUCGGCGACCGGUUUGUCUGCUGCGGCGUUUUAAGGAGGAGUGUUCGAUUCGCGGUAUGGUUGGCUUCGGCUGAACAGGCGCUUAUUGAAUGCUUUUCCUGCUGUGGCGUGAUGGGCUGGUGAACCGUAGCUGUGUUUGGCUUGGCUUUUGAAUCGGUUUUGCUGUUGCGAAGUAGAGUGGCGGNUUCGGCUGU